Molecule: small nucleolar RNA, 138 nt
Organism: Seriola dumerili (greater amberjack)
Lineage: Eukaryota; Metazoa; Chordata; Actinopteri; Carangiformes; Carangidae
Source: Ensembl
GUGCACAGUGAACACCCAAGGAUGCUAAUGUGGCUAACCCUGGUCUUUUUCUAACUGUGCUAGAGUAAAUCUGAUCUGUACCUCUGCAUUAGGAGAGCCCAUUCCUCUCCUACAUGUAUUCAGCGGAUCAGAAUAAUC